UAACCAUCUGCUGACGGCCAAGCGUUCAUAGCAACGUCGCUUUUUGAUCCUUCGAUGUCGGCUCUUCCUAUCAUUGUGAAGCAGAAUUCACCAAGCGUUGGAUGGUUCACCCACUAAUAGGGAACGUGAGCUGGGAUUAGACCGUCGUGAGAAAAGAA
Molecule: non-coding RNA, 158 nt
Filed under: Salmo salar (Atlantic salmon)
Lineage: Eukaryota; Metazoa; Chordata; Actinopteri; Salmoniformes; Salmonidae
Description: Eukaryotic large subunit ribosomal RNA
Rfam family: Eukaryotic large subunit ribosomal RNA
Source: Rfam by way of RNAcentral